GACGAACGCUGGCGGCGCGCCUAACACAUGCAAGUCGAACGAGCGAGAGAGAGCUUGCUUUCUCAAGCGAGUGGCGAACGGGUGAGUAACGCGUGAGGAACCUGCCUCAAAGAGGGGGACAACAGUUGGAAACGACUGUUAAUACCGCAUAAGCCCACGACCCGGCAUCGGGUAGAGGGAAAAGGAGCAAUCCGCUUUGAGAUGGCCUCGCGUCCGAUUAGCUAGUUGGUGAGGUAACGGCCCACCAAGGCGACGAUCGGUAGCCGGACUGAGAGGUUGAACGGCCACAUUGGGACUGAGACACGGCCCAGACUCCUACGGGAGGCAGCAGUGGGGAAUAUUGCACAAUGGGGGAAACCCUGAUGCAGCGACGCCGCGUGGAGGAAGAAGGUCUUCGGAUUGUAAACUCCUGUUGUUGAGGAAGAUAAUGACGGUACUCAACAAGGAAGUGACGGCUAACUACGUG
RNAcentral lists this ribosomal RNA (466 nucleotides) under uncultured bacterium. Its description in RNAcentral is "partial 16S ribosomal RNA". It matches the Rfam family "Bacterial small subunit ribosomal RNA", at positions 28 to 507 of the family's 1533-position model. The record is from RNAcentral.